Long non-coding RNA from Eriocheir sinensis (Chinese mitten crab), 1392 nucleotides. RefSeq lists it as uncharacterized. The transcript has 4 exons. Lineage: Eukaryota; Metazoa; Arthropoda; Malacostraca; Decapoda; Varunidae. The record is from RefSeq and is a predicted model, not a curated record.
GGAAAGAGUGGGUGAAUAUAAUUAUCUCGGUCUAACUUAUACUGUUUAUUAUACCGCUAUUCGCAGCAAUAUCUUUCUCUGCUCCGAUUGCAACGCUGCCUCGUUCAAAAAUCAUAACACCGCCGCGGCCGCCACGUUUACCAGCCGGAGCCUCAAAUCAUGUCCCUUUGUGGUGAUAAAGAGGACACAGCCUGGUGUGAAGCUACAUUUAUUACGGAAGGAUGCCAGCCGGGAUCCGAACACGUCCGAUAUCAUCCAAGAGAAUGUGGCAGCUGAAGGGGGAGAGGCCAAGAAAGAGGCCAAGGGUGAAGACAUUUAGCCACCCCCCCUGAAGUACAUGGCAGCAUCCAACCCUCUUGGUGAGCUGCAGGAAUGUGCUCCCCAUUGCAGUGCACCAGCUCCAUGUACUGAUUUUGGAUUUGAAUUUGAUGGGGCUGGAGGAAACUCGACUCGGCCAUCAAGCUCACCACAAUAUAACAUGAAAAGUGAAAAUUGCUGCACACAACAGUCUGCCGUCUGCACCGGGAGGCAAGGCAGCUCAAAGCCCAGGCUGUUACAACUCCUGGGCAGUUUUUGCCCAGAGCCAGCAAUUUUUUAGAUCCAAUAGAGGUGGAUUUUUUCUAAGGUCAGGUUCAACAUGCUGCAAGAUGCCAAGAUCUAAGCCUAGUAGGAGAUGUGGGUUACAAGAGAGGAGGUUUGCUCUGGCCUUAUACUAUCAAAGUCCAAAUGCUAAUAGAUUUCUAAGCACAGUAUUUCACUUGCCUUCAGUUUCAACACUUCACUCAUGACUCAGGGGUAUUUCAGUAAAUGUUGGCUGGAGCAAACAGACUCUGACAGCCCUGCAGCAAAGAGCACAGGCUUUGUCAAAAGAUUAGAUACUUCGUGGGAUUUGCCAUUAUUUAGUAUUACUCUUGUUACGGCAAUAAAUUUUUUCCAUAUACUUUGCCAAAUAUUGCAAGUAAUGCACCAUUGUUGGUCUUGCCUGUUAGAAAUCAGAUCUUGUUCAAUUAACAAGCUUUGGGUGUCUGCCACUUUCCAGUUGUAAUGCAAGGAAUCAUUUAUCUCCCCUGCCAGAUAUCACAUGUAAUGUACCAUUGUUGGUUUUGCCUGUUAUAAAUCAGAUCUUGUUCAGUUAACAAGCUUUAGGUGUCUGCCACUUUCCAGUUGUAAUGCAAGGAAUCCCCUGCCAGAUAUCGCAUGUAAUGCACCAUUGUUGGUUUUGCCUGUUAUAAAUCAGAUCUUGUUCAGCUCACAAGCUUUGAAUAUCUGCCAUUGUUUAUUUCAGGUGUAAUGCUUGGAAGCAUUUGUUCUCUUCCCUACCCAACAGUAUGCAAUACUUUAUUGUGGAUUUUGCCUGUUAUAUUUAAUCUUGUUCAGGUAACAAGCUUUUGG